RNAcentral lists this ribosomal RNA (505 nucleotides) under Holothuria ocellata. Its description in RNAcentral is "partial large subunit ribosomal RNA". It matches the Rfam family "Bacterial large subunit ribosomal RNA", at positions 1808 to 2581 of the family's 2925-position model. Lineage: Eukaryota; Metazoa; Echinodermata; Holothuroidea; Aspidochirotida; Holothuriidae. The record is from RNAcentral.
CAAAAACAUAGCUCUUUGAACAUAUAAAGAGUCCCGCCUGCCCAGUGGCCCAAAGCUAAACGGCCGCGGUAUCUUGACCGUGCAAAGGUAGCAUAAUCAUUUGUCUUUUAAAUGGAGACUUGUAUGAACGGCAAAACCUUUUUCAACUGUCUCCCCUCCUACCCUUCUAAAUUUCUUUCUGCGUGAAGAAGCGCAGAUAUUCCAGAAAGACGAGAAGACCCUGUCGAGCUUCAGCCAACAAGUAAACGGAAUAAACUACAUAAACCGACAUUACUAAAAGGCUUUGGUUGGGGCAACCAUGGAGAAAACAUAACCUCCAGACCAAAUAAAAGAGAACUCCUCAUUAUUUCCAUCCUAGAGAACCAGAAACUGGUAAACGGAAAAAGUUACCGCAGGGAUAACAGCGUCAUCUCCUCUGAGAGUCCUUAUUGACGAGGGGGUUUGCGACCUCGAUGUUGGAUUAGGGGCCCCUUAGGGUGCAGAAGCUCUAAACGGUUAGACUGUC